RNAcentral lists this ribosomal RNA (465 nucleotides) under uncultured bacterium. RNAcentral describes it as "partial 16S ribosomal RNA". It matches the Rfam family "Bacterial small subunit ribosomal RNA", at positions 338 to 795 of the family's 1533-position model. The record is from RNAcentral.
CCUACGGGUGGCAGCAGUGGGGAAUUUUGGACAAUGGGCGCAAGCCUGAUCCAGCUAUUCCGCGUGUGGGAUGAAGGCCCUCGGGUUGUAAACCACUUUUGUAGAGAACGAAAAUACACCCCUUAAUAAAGGGUGUUGCUGACGGUACUCUCAGAAUAAGCACCAGCUAACUACGUGCCAGCAGCCGCGGUAAUACGUAGGGUGCGAGCGUUAAUCGGAAUUACUGGGCGUAAAGGGUGCGCAGGCGGUUGAGUAAGACAGAUGGGAAAUCCCCGAGCUUAACUCGGGAAUGGCAUAUGUGACUGCUCGACUAGAGUGUGGCAGAGGGAGGUGGAAUUCCAGGUGUAGCAGUGAAAUGCGUAGAUAUGGGGAAGAACACUGAUGGCGAAGGCAGCCUCCUGGGACAUAACUGACGCUGAGGCACGAAAGCGUGGGGAGCAAACAGGAUUAGAUACCCUGGUAGUC